CAAACGGAGAGAGUAGAAGCAGAGGACCGACCUUCUGCGAAACGGUAAAAAAUGUGCAAACAAAAAUAAAGGAAAAUAAAGUCAAAGAAAGGGAAAAAAUCACAAACAGCAUUCCCAGCAUUACAAACGGCCGACACACGAACCGACAUCAGGCCAAACUUAUGCUUCGCUGCAGAAGGUUUUUGAAAUUAUAAAAUAUUGUACACAUCGAAUGGAUGUCUCUACUAAUGACGAGCAACAGCAGAUGACAAUCGGAUCAUAAUAUCAAGCACUAAUGAGAGCAUAGCAUAAACCACUUUUGUUUUGUCAGUUUUGCAGGCUGUCAGGGCAACAAAGUUGACAUAAUUUGAUUUGGAAUCCACUUCCCCUACUCCUGCACAGCUGCCCUUUGAUGGGAUGCCAUUCUCUGUCCACAUUCAGGCCUCAAAAACUUUCUCAAAGUCUAGCCGGCUGGCAAUGGCAGCACUCGACGCGCUGCCAGCCAUUGACAGAGCUUUGAGCAAACCAACAAAUGGACCAAGAGACUGAAGGGAGAAGCGAAGACCUG
This 547-nucleotide long non-coding RNA is filed under the name Drosophila guanche. Lineage: Eukaryota; Metazoa; Arthropoda; Insecta; Diptera; Drosophilidae. The record is from RNAcentral.